AACGAACGCUGGCGGCAUGCCUAACACAUGCAAGUCGAACGAGACCUUCGGGUCUAGGCGCCCACGGGGGUGGAACGCGUGGGAACCUGCCCUUAUGGUCGGAAUAACUCCCCGAAUGGGGUGCUAAUACCGGAUAAGGGCUUCGGACCGAAAAUUUAUCGCAUUGGUUUGGGCCCGCGUUGGAUUCGCUAGUUAGUAGGGUAAAAGCCUACCAAGGCGACGAUCCGUAAAUGGUCUGUGAGAAUGAUCAGCCACUCUGGGACGGAGACACGGCCCAGACUCCUCCGGGAGGCAGCAGAGGGUGAUAUUGGACCACGGGCGAAGUCCUGAUCCUGCUCUGCCGCUUGAGCGAUGAAGGCCUUAGGGUUGUAAAGUUCUUUUACCCGUGAUGAUAUUGACGGUACCGGAACAAUAAGCUCCGGCUAACUCCGUG
Molecule: ribosomal RNA, 433 nt
Filed under: uncultured bacterium
Lineage: Bacteria
Description: partial 16S ribosomal RNA
Rfam family: Bacterial small subunit ribosomal RNA
Source: RNAcentral